RNAcentral lists this non-coding RNA (28 nucleotides) under Rattus norvegicus (Norway rat). The record is from RNAcentral. Lineage: Eukaryota; Metazoa; Chordata; Mammalia; Rodentia; Muridae.
UGAAGGUGAUGGUUCUUCUUGGUGGUAC